This 497-nucleotide ribosomal RNA is filed under the name uncultured bacterium. Its description in RNAcentral is "partial 16S ribosomal RNA". It matches the Rfam family "Bacterial small subunit ribosomal RNA", at positions 28 to 507 of the family's 1533-position model. The record is from RNAcentral.
GAUGAACGCUGGCGGCGUGCCUAAUACAUGCAAGUCGAGCGAACGGACGAGAAGCUUGCUUCUCUGAUGUUAGCGGCGGACGGGUGAGUAACACGUGGAUAACCUACCUAUAAGACUGGGAUAACUUCGGGAAACCGGAGCUAAUACCGGAUAAUAUUUUGAACCGCAUGGUUCAAAAGUGAAAGACGGUCUUGCUGUCACUUAUAGAUGGAUCCGCGCUGCAUUAGCUAGUUGGUAAGGUAACGGCUUACCAAGGCAACGAUGCAUAGCCGACCUGAGAGGGUGAUCGGCCACACUGGAACUGAGACACGGUCCAGACUCCUACGGGAGGCAGCAGUAGGGAAUCUUCCGCAAUGGGCGAAAGCCUGACGGAGCAACGCCGCAUGAGUGAUGAAGGUCUUCGGAUCGUAAAACUCUGUUAUUAGGGAAGAACAUAUGUGUAAGUAACUGUGCACAUCUUGACGGUACCUAAUCAGCAAGCCACGGCUAACUACGUG